This 468-nucleotide ribosomal RNA is filed under the name uncultured bacterium. RNAcentral describes it as "partial 16S ribosomal RNA". It matches the Rfam family "Bacterial small subunit ribosomal RNA", at positions 28 to 507 of the family's 1533-position model. The record is from RNAcentral.
GACGAACGCUGGCGGCGUGCUUAACACAUGCAAGUCGAACGGAAAGGCCCUGCUUUUGUGGGGUGCUCGAGUGGCGAACGGGUGAGUAACACGUGAGUAACCUGCCCUUGACUUUGGGAUAACUUCAGGAAACUGGGGCUAAUACCGGAUAGGAGCUCCUGCUGCAUGGUGGGGGUUGGAAAGUUUCGGCGGUUGGGGAUGGACUCGCGGCUUAUCAGCUUGUUGGUGGGGUAGUGGCUUACCAAGGCUUUGACAGGUAGCCGGCCUGAGAGGGUGACCGGCCACAUUGGGACUGAGAUACGGCCCAGAUUCCUACGGGAGGCAGCAGUGGGGAAUAUUGCAAAAUGGGCGGAAGCCUGAUGCAGCAACGCCGCGUGCGGGAUGACGGCCUUCGGGUUGUAAACCGCUUUCGCCUGUGACGAAGCGUGAGUGACGGUAAUGGGUAAAGAAGCACCGGCUAACUACGUG